UUUAGUUCGUUUCUUUCCCCUACAUUACUUGACCGUUUUUGUAAAACAACAGCACUCGAGGUCUGACAGUAUUUUACCAAGAAAUGCACAAAAUAUUCAAAAAGAAGGCCUAGAAAAUUUAAAUAUUGGACAAGAACUAUAGAAGGUACAGAGAAAUAAUAUACAGCAGAAAUAAUAGGCAAUGUAAAAUUUGCAGAAGCCAACUAAACCUAAAUGGUGAUCAGACAUCUCGGUUUUCAUGAUCAAUAGGUCAUUACUGAAGAGGAAACUUAAAGUUGAAAUUUAUUUACAUAGUGCAUAAUUGGAUUAAUUUGAAAUGGAAUGUGUGCUUUCCUGCAAAAAAGAAAUAGGAAAUUUCAACAUGUGAUAAUGACCAUAUAAAACAAAAUGGAGUUCUAUCAUAGAUACCCGAAAACACUAUUGCAUAAAAGCAACAACAUAUCUUAAUCAAAAGAAA
Long non-coding RNA from Mytilus trossulus (common blue mussel), 457 nucleotides. RefSeq lists it as uncharacterized. The record is from RefSeq and is a predicted model, not a curated record. Lineage: Eukaryota; Metazoa; Mollusca; Bivalvia; Mytilida; Mytilidae. The transcript has 3 exons.